Molecule: ribosomal RNA, 253 nt
Filed under: uncultured bacterium
Lineage: Bacteria
Description: partial 16S ribosomal RNA
Rfam family: Bacterial small subunit ribosomal RNA
Source: RNAcentral
UACGAAGGGGGCUAGCGUUGUUCGGAAUUACUGGGUUUAAAGGGUGCGUAGGUGGGUUGGUAAGUCAGUGGUGAAAUCUCCGAGCUUAACUUGGAAACUGCCAUUGAUACUAUCAGUCUUGAAUAUUGUGGAGGUCAGCGGAAUAUGUCAUGUAGCGGUGAAAUGCGUAGAUAUGACAUAGAACACCAAUUGCGAAGGCAGCUGGCUACACAUAUAUUGACACUGAGGCACGAAAGCGUGGGGAUCAAACAGG